Molecule: ribosomal RNA, 252 nt
Filed under: uncultured Oscillospiraceae bacterium
Lineage: Bacteria; Bacillati; Bacillota; Clostridia; Eubacteriales; Oscillospiraceae
Description: partial 16S ribosomal RNA
Rfam family: Bacterial small subunit ribosomal RNA
Source: RNAcentral
UACGGAGGAUGCGAGCGUUAUCCGGAUUUAUUGGGUUUAAAGGGUGCGUAGGCGGAAUAUCAAGUCAGCGGUAAAAAUUCGGGGCUCAACCCCGUCGUGCCGUUGAAACUGCAGUUCUUGAGUGAUGGAGAGGCAGGCGGAAUUCCCGGUGUAGCGGUGGAAUGCGUAGAUAUCGGGAGGAACACCAGUGGCGAAGGCGGCCUGCUGGACAUUAACUGACGCUGAGGCGCGAAAGCGUGGGGAGCAAACAGG